AUCUGAAGCUGGCUCCAGGCUCUAAGCUACCAGCACAGAGCCCAACGCAGGACCCAAACUUAAAAACGACGAUAUCAGACCCGAGCCAAAGGCGGACACUCAACCAACCGAGCCACCCAGAGAGAGAAUCUGAAGCCCGGAGAAGAAAAACAACUGGCUCAAGAUCACAUGGCAGUUUGAACUCUCAGAAUCUCCCAGACAUCUCACACAUAGCCUGGCUGAUUGAUUUGCUGAACUGAGAGACAUAGAAUCCUGAGACCAAGCAGAAGGAACAGCUAGAAAAUGCCUGGGUUCUAGCCCUAGCUCUCUGACUGGAUGCUACGGAUUUAAACAAACCAUUUCCUCUCUUAGA
Hyaena hyaena (striped hyena) is the source of this 352-nucleotide long non-coding RNA. RefSeq lists it as uncharacterized. The transcript has 3 exons. Lineage: Eukaryota; Metazoa; Chordata; Mammalia; Carnivora; Hyaenidae. The record is from RefSeq and is a predicted model, not a curated record.